Molecule: ribosomal RNA, 908 nt
Filed under: Acinetobacter baumannii
Lineage: Bacteria; Pseudomonadati; Pseudomonadota; Gammaproteobacteria; Moraxellales; Moraxellaceae
Description: partial 23S ribosomal RNA
Rfam family: Bacterial large subunit ribosomal RNA
Source: RNAcentral
CGAAUGCUGACGUGAGUAACGACAAAACGGGUGAAAAACCCGUUCGCCGAAAGACCAAGGGUUCCAGUCCAACGUUAAUCGGGGCUGGGUGAGUCGACCCCUAAGGCGAGGCCGAAAGGCGUAGUCGAUGGGAAAAUGGUUAAUAUUCCAUUACUUCUGUGUAAUGCGAUGAGAGGACGGAGAAGGCUAAAUCAGCCUGGCGUUGGUUGUCCAGGUGAAAGGAUGUAGGCAUGUAUCUUAGGCAAAUCCGGGGUACUCUAUGCUGAGAUCUGAUAGCAAGCUGUACUUGUACAGCGAAGUGGUUGAUGCCAUGCUUCCAGGAAAAGUCUCUAAGCUUCAGUUACACAGGAAUCGUACCCGAAACCGACACAGGUGGUCAGGUCGAGUAGACCAAGGCGCUUGAGAGAACUCUGCUGAAGGAACUAGGCAAAAUGGUACCGUAACUUCGGGAGAAGGUACGCUGUUGUUGGUGAUGGAACUCGCUUCCUGAGCUGACGACAGCCGCAGAAACCAGGCCGCUGCAACUGUUUAUUAAAAACAUAGCACUCUGCAAACACGAAAGUGGACGUAUAGGGUGUGAUGCCUGCCCGGUGCUGGAAGGUUAAUUGAUGGGGUUAGCGUAAGCGAAGCUCUUGAUCGAAGCCCCAGUAAACGGCGGCCGUAACUAUAACGGUCCUAAGGUAGCGAAAUUCCUUGUCGGGUAAGUUCCGACCUGCACGAAUGGCAUAAUGAUGGCGGCGCUGUCUCCAGCAGAGGCUCAGUGAAAUCGAAAUCGCUGUGAAGAUGCAGUGUACCCGCGGCUAGACGGAAAGACCCCGUGAACCUUUACUGCAGCUUGACACUGAACUUUGACCUUACUUGUGUAGGAUAGGUGGGAGGCUUUGAAGCUGGAACGCUAGUUCCAGUGG